AGGCAACCCAAGAGGAGGAUGAAUUGGAUUUAUUAAAUAUUAAAACAAAUAUGUGCACUAUUUAACAUGUGUGAAAUAAAGGUGCAGUGAAAGCAUUGAAUUAGAGCUAUGAGUAUACUGAUGCAAAUGAGAACAAAAUAGAAGUAAACAUAAGCACACACAAAUAUAAAAUUUUAUAGUGGUUCUAUCAUGCCCUCGACC
This 201-nucleotide long non-coding RNA is filed under the name Elaeis guineensis (African oil palm). RNAcentral describes it as "long non-coding RNA (EGUI_LNC009312)". Lineage: Eukaryota; Viridiplantae; Streptophyta; Magnoliopsida; Arecales; Arecaceae. The record is from RNAcentral.